Bos taurus (domestic cattle) is the source of this 1954-nucleotide long non-coding RNA. The record is from Ensembl. NCBI's taxonomy places the organism in Eukaryota, Metazoa, Chordata, Mammalia, Artiodactyla, Bovidae.
AUUAGUAGUUAAAGGCACCACCAGCACCCAUUCCCCCUUCUCGGUAGUCCCCUCUAGGAGUGAGUAGGAUGAUGGACCUAGCAGAAGCAAAUGAUUCCCAUGGGUCCCAGGCUACGGGCCUGGGCAGAUUUCACCCACAGGCCUGGAGAAGCAGAGCAUCAGGUCUUGAAAGCAAAAGACAAGAGGAAACCAGCCACCUUCCUGAACUAACUAAACCCCAGCCUUGACCAUGACUGAGACAAGCAAGACAUGAGCAUCACCUGGCCAGGAGGGUCCUCAGAGCGCAGAUUAAGAGCAGGAGGUCUGAGUUCAGCUCAUGGGGGUCAAACCCCAUAACUAGCUGGGGGAUGCCGGGCAAACUUCCUUCCUUGUUAAGUUUCAGUUCCCUCUUUUGUAUGAUAAGAUUUCGUGAUGCUUCUUCACAAGACUGUUUGGAAGAUUAAAUGAAACAAUUCAUGGAAACAGAAUGCCUGACACUGAGUGGGUCCUCAGUAUUGGCUUUAAAUACAACCUGAAAUAGAAGAAAAUAGGAGCAUAAACUGAGAGAACCCAAGAGGAAAGGCGUGGAUUCUCUGAUCAUUCAAGUGUGCAAGUGCCCCAUCUGAAUCAUUUUGCUGCUAAAAACACCCUCGUCUCACAGUCCUUCACCACCCAGUUGCACUAGACUGAGGGUUUGAGAUGGCAAGAGCAAUGCUGUGUGGGCCUCAGGAAGUCAAGCAUAUCCAGAACCGGCCACGUAGACCUGGUGUGGCUGUUUUACAUGGGCUCAGACAGACCUGCCAUUAGGAGCAUUCCAGACCAGAGCUCAGCUGCUCCGAAGAGCAAUAAUUAAAUCAGCAGACUGUGACGUCUGCUUUGGGUUCCUUUCACACCUGUCUGUCAGCGGGAUUACUGGCUAAAAGAAAGUCUUGGCUGGGCCCAGACUGGCGGAUUCUUUACAACAGAGCCACCUGGGAAGCCACGUCAAGAUGUACCACACUUUAUUUAUCCACCCACCUACUGAAGGACAUCUGGACUGCUUCCAAGUUUGGCAAUUAUAAAUAAAGCUGCUAUCAACCUCCACGUGCAGGUUUUUGUAUGGAAAUACGUUUCCAAUUCAUCUGGGUAAAUACCAAAAAGCACAACUGUGGGUCAUAUGGUUGCUAUAACUUUUCUGAGCCUCAUCAUCAUGAUGUUUGAUUGAGCUACUGCACAUGAAAGAGCACAGCAUCCAGCACACAGGCAGGGCUCAACUAGUGGGAGCUUUGUCUGUUACUCUACUCAACUGUCAGUGAAAUCACCAAUGCUUGGGUGUGAAUCCAAGCACUGUCUGAGGCGGAUGACAUAUGGGUGCAUCAUUUGUCGUGGAUCGUCUCUCUAGAGUCCAACAAGGCACAGAGCAACACAAGAUGCCGGAAGGCUACUGGACUGAGGACCACCGCCACUGAAGAGGGAUGUGGCAGCCUCCUGCACUGUGGGAAGACAGGAGGAAACAGCCUCGAGAGAGGCUCUCGGGAAGCUCCAGCACAUAUCUCUGGUGGCCUCUCUUCCCAGGGCUCACAGGCUGCCACCCUGUUCUGCUACCCACAACACCUUGGGCUCACACCCCCUGAGGACCCACUAUCCACAGCAAGGCUCAACCGCAGCUCCAGUGCCCCACUUCAUGCUGCAGUGCGAAAGUCCUAACUGGAGCCCUGGGUACAUCUGGAUCAAGUUAAUUACAAAACAAGACAUACAUGGGAAUAGCCAAGCAGUCCCACUGAAAGCACAGGCAAGAAGCCGUUCAUCCCAACAGUUGUGACUGCGCCCAGACUCCUAUGUUCCUGCUGGGAGUCUGAGCACAUCCUGUCGAACAUGUCUGCAAAAACAACCCUUGUUAUGCUAAUCUCAGCCCUGUUUAUGAUGGUAAAACUUCUUGGGAGCAAGCCAAAUGUCAAGAUUGGGGGAUUCAUUAAAUAAACCAUGGUGCUAUCCA